Molecule: ribosomal RNA, 243 nt
Filed under: uncultured bacterium
Lineage: Bacteria
Description: partial 16S ribosomal RNA
Rfam family: Bacterial small subunit ribosomal RNA
Source: RNAcentral
AGAGUUUGAUCAUGGCUCAGGAUGAACGCUAGCUACAGGCUUAACACAUGCAAGUCGAGGGGCAGCAUGAACUUAGCUUGCUAAGUUUGAUGGCGACCGGCGCACGGGUGAGUAACACGUAUCCAACCUGCCGAUGACUCGGGGAUAGCCUUUACGAAAGAAAGAUUAAUACCCGAUGGCAUAGUUCUUCCGCAUGGUGGAACUAUUAAAGAAUUUCGGUCAUCGAUGGGGAUGCGUUCCUAG